AUUGAACGCUGGCGGAAUGCUUUACACAUGCAAGUCGAGCGGCAGCGCGGGGCAACCUGGCGGCGAGCGGCGAACGGGUGAGUAAUGCAUCGGAACAUGUCCAUUCGUGGGGGAUAGCCCGGCGAAAGCCGGAUUAAUACCGCAUACGCCCGAGAGGGGAAAGUGGGGGACCGCAAGGCCUCACGCGAUUGGGUUGGCCGAUGUCCGAUUAGCUAGUUGGCGGGGUAAGAGCCCACCAAGGCGAUGAUCGGUAGCUGGUCUGAGAGGAUGAUCAGCCACACUGGGACUGAGACACGGCCCAGACUCCUACGGGAGGCAGCAGUGGGGAAUUUUGGACAAUGGGGGAAACCCUGAUCCAGCCAUUCCGCGUGAGUGAAGAAGGCCU
Molecule: ribosomal RNA, 385 nt
Filed under: uncultured bacterium
Lineage: Bacteria
Description: bacterial SSU rRNA
Rfam family: Bacterial small subunit ribosomal RNA
Source: RNAcentral